RNAcentral lists this ribosomal RNA (451 nucleotides) under uncultured bacterium. RNAcentral describes it as "bacterial SSU rRNA". It matches the Rfam family "Bacterial small subunit ribosomal RNA", at positions 29 to 524 of the family's 1533-position model. The record is from RNAcentral.
AACGAACGCUGGCGGCAUGCCUAACACAUGCAAGUCGAACGAGACCUUCGGGUCUAGUGGCGCACGGGUGCGUAACGCGUGGGAAUCUACCCUUGGGUUCGGAAUAACUCAGAGAAAUUUGAGCUAAUACCGGAUGAUGUCGCAAGACCAAAGAUUUAUCGCCCAAGGAUGAGCCCGCGUAGGAUUAGCUUGUUGGUGAGGUAAAAGCUCACCAAGGCGACGAUCCUUAGCUGGUCUGAGAGGAUGAUCAGCUACACUGGGACUGAGACACGGCCCAGACUCCUACGGGAGGCAGCAGUGGGGAAUAUUGGACAAUGGGCGAAAGCCUGAUCCAGCAAUGCCGCGUGAGUGAUGAAGGCCUUAGGGUUGUAAAGCUCUUUUACCCGGGAUGAUAAUGACAGUACCGGGAGAAUAAGCCCCCGGCUAACUCCGUGCCAGCAGCCGCGGUAAU